Long non-coding RNA from Gavialis gangeticus (Gharial), 100 nucleotides. RefSeq lists it as uncharacterized. The transcript is spliced from 3 exons. The record is from RefSeq and is a predicted model, not a curated record. Lineage: Eukaryota; Metazoa; Chordata; Crocodylia; Gavialidae.
CAUCAGCAAGACUGACUCCAGGUCAGGACCAAGAUAAAGUUCCUGAAAUUGCUCUAUGUGAGGAGCAGCGGUGCCAAUAGGAUGCAUGGGGAAGCCAAGA